UGCAGUCGAGCGGUAACAGAGAGGUGCUUGCNCCUUUGCUGACGAGCGGCGGACGGGUGAGUAAUGCUUGGGAACAUGCCUUGAGGUGGGGGACAACAGUUGGAAACGACUGCUAAUACCGCAUAAUGUCUACGGACCAAAGGGGGCUUCGGCUCUCGCCUUUAGAUUGGCCCAAGUGGGAUUAGCUAGUUGGUGAGGUAAUGGCUCACCAAGGCGACGAUCCCUAGCUGGUUUGAGAGGAUGAUCAGCCACACUGGGACUGAGACACGGCCCAGACUCCUACGGGAGGCAGCAGUGGGGAAUAUUGCACAAUGGGCGCAAGCCUGAUGCAGCCAUGCCGCGUGUGUGAAGAAGGCCUUCGGGUUGUAAAGCACUUUCAGUCAGGAGGAAAGGUUAGUAGUUAAUACCUGCUAGCUGUGACGUUACUGACAGAAGAAGCACCGGCUAACUCCGUGCCAGCAGCCGCGGUAAUCGGAGGGUGCGAGCGUUAAUCGGAAUUACUGGGCGUAAAGCGUACGCAGGCGGUUUGUUAAGCGAGAUGUGAAAGCCCCGGGCUCAACCUGGGAACUGCAUUUCGAACUGGCAAACUAGAGUGUGAUAGAGGGUGGUAGAAUUUCAGGUGUAGCGGUGAAAUGCGUAGAGAUCUGAAGGAAUACCGAUGGCGAAGGCAGCCACCUGGGUCAACACUGACGCUGAUGUACGAAAGC
RNAcentral lists this ribosomal RNA (707 nucleotides) under Pseudoalteromonas sp. SOVoc3. RNAcentral's name for it is "bacterial SSU rRNA". It matches the Rfam family "Bacterial small subunit ribosomal RNA", at positions 56 to 760 of the family's 1533-position model. Lineage: Bacteria; Pseudomonadati; Pseudomonadota; Gammaproteobacteria; Alteromonadales; Pseudoalteromonadaceae. The record is from RNAcentral.